This is a non-coding RNA of Phrynosoma platyrhinos (Desert horned lizard), 70 nucleotides long. NCBI's taxonomy places the organism in Eukaryota, Metazoa, Chordata, Lepidosauria, Squamata, Phrynosomatidae. The record is from the annotation of a GenBank genome assembly.
GCCAGUGUAGUGUAGUGGUUUGAGCCUUGGACUAUGAUUGGAGACCAGGGUUCAAAUCCCAGCGUGGCCA